Molecule: long non-coding RNA, 269 nt
Filed under: Gossypium raimondii (Peruvian cotton)
Lineage: Eukaryota; Viridiplantae; Streptophyta; Magnoliopsida; Malvales; Malvaceae
Description: long non-coding RNA (GRAI_LNC010763)
Source: RNAcentral
UCGAUUUUGUUUGCUUUUAAUUGAUUAUGAAUUUAUGGGUUGCUUAAUUUUUAAUAUGGUUGUUUGUAUAAUAUGAUUAAAAUCAAUGUUUGUGUUUGCCUAUUAUUCGUUUAAUUGCUUCUAGUUUAAGUUUAAAAUUGUUAUUUGUCUUUUACAUUAUAUGUAUCGUUAUUCAAUCAUGUUCCUUUUGUAAGCGUCGAAUUUUAUUAAAGCUUCAUGAUCGUUUUGUUCCAUAAUCCUUAAAAAGGCUUGGCGUUCAUAGGUUCUCG